Molecule: long non-coding RNA, 490 nt
Filed under: Bos taurus (domestic cattle)
Lineage: Eukaryota; Metazoa; Chordata; Mammalia; Artiodactyla; Bovidae
Description: long non-coding RNA NONBTAT000164
Source: RNAcentral
UUUAUGGAUAAUUAUUGUAAAAAUAAAAUACGGCUAUUGUAAAAGCAAGAGCAAAAAACUUUAUCCUAGAGUAGGAAGAUUCCAGUUUAAAAAAUCUGAAAUUCCAUCACUCAGAGACAAAAGGCAACAAUUUAGUUUACCCCUUUAGUAGAUAGUGCUAGAGAACACUAUAUAUACGUAUAUACCAUUUUUAAGCUGAAUGAGAUGAUUCUGCUAACUCUCCAUCUAUGCAUGUUGCCUACUUUGAUUGACUUUUCCUGGCAAGAUACCUAGAAAAACUGUGAAACCGCCAAUUCACUAAAGCUUUCAAGGGAAUGCACUCUAAUAAUUUCAUAUUUAAGCAAAAUAACACUACUGGUAAAUAGUAUUAGUUAAUGUAGAGUAUUUAUUUGAUUCUUUUCAGAUUCGUAAAAGACAAAUUAGCAGCAACUAAAUUUUUAAUAUAUUCCAAGUGAAGAAAAUCUAUGCAAUCUAUAAAACAAAUGAGACG